Molecule: ribosomal RNA, 583 nt
Filed under: Rhodotorula glutinis
Lineage: Eukaryota; Fungi; Basidiomycota; Microbotryomycetes; Sporidiobolales; Sporidiobolaceae
Description: eukaryotic LSU rRNA
Rfam family: Eukaryotic large subunit ribosomal RNA
Source: RNAcentral
GCGGAGGAAAAGAAACUAACAAGGAUUCCCCUAGUAGCGGCGAGCGAAGCGGGAAGAGCUCAAAUUUACGAUAAUCUGGCACCUUCGGUGUCCGAGUUGUAAUCUCUAGAAGUGUUUUCCGCGUUGGACCGCACACAAGUCUGUUGGAAUACAGCGGCAUAGUGGUGAAACCCCCGUAUAUGGUGCGGACGCCCAGCGCUUUGUGAUACACUUUCAAUGAGUCGAGUUGUUUGGGAAUGCAGCUCAAAUUGGGUGGUAAAUUCCAUCUAAAGCUAAAUAUUGGCGAGAGACCGAUAGCGAACAAGUACCGUGAGGGAAAGAUGAAAAGCACUUUGGAAAGAGAGUUAACAGUACGUGAAAUUGUUGGAAGGGAAACGCUUGAAGUCAGACUUGCUUGCCGGAGCUUGCUUCGGUUUGCAGGCCAGCAUCAGUUUUCCGGGGUGGAUAAUGACGGUUUGAAGGUAGCAGUCUCGGCUGUGUUAUAGCUUUCCGUUGGAUACAUCCUGGGGGACUGAGGAACGCAGCGUGCUUUUUGCGAAAGACUCGUCUUUUUCACGCUUAGGAUGCUGGUGGAAUGGCUUUA